RNAcentral lists this ribosomal RNA (873 nucleotides) under Triticum aestivum (bread wheat). Its description in RNAcentral is "partial small subunit ribosomal RNA". Lineage: Eukaryota; Viridiplantae; Streptophyta; Magnoliopsida; Poales; Poaceae. The record is from RNAcentral.
AUGUUGGCUAAACAGUGUUGGAGGCUCAUUGAUAAUUAUGACUCUCUUUGUGCCAAAGUUCUCAGAGCAAAAUACUACCCCUCUGGUGACCUGCUAAAUUGUGAACUAUAGAAGGGCUCAUCCUUUGUGUGGCAAAGUAUUUGGUCAGGGGUCCAAACUUUUAAAAAGGGAUGCAUUUGGAGAGUUGGCAAUGGAUUGAAAAUCAAUAUUUGGGAGGAUUGUUGGAUCCCAAAUAGUAUGUCCAGGAAAAUUAUCACAGUGCGGGGUUACUGUGUUCUCACUACAGUUAAUGAGCUUAUAGACCCAGCUACAGGUGAAUGGGAUGAAGCUUUGAUUCGAGACAAUUUCUGGCAUAUUGAUGCGGAGAGGAUUUUGCAGAUUCCAAUACAUCAGCAUGAUACAGAGGACUUCAUUGCAUGGCAUCUCACAAAGUCAGGUAUCUUCAGUGUCUGGUCUGCGUAUUAUACGCAAUGGGAAGAAUGCUAUGAAUCCAACACUGCAAAUCCGAUUGGUAUUCGAGGCUCCUCACCACACUCAAUAUGGAAAAAAUUGUGGAGUUUGAAGGUACCGGGCAAAGUUAAAAAAAUUAUAUGGAGAUGUCUUCAUGACGCCAUUCCCUGUUUGUGUGUGCUAGCUAAUAGACACAUUGCCACUUCUGCACAAUGUCCUAUUUGUUCGAGGUAUGCAGAAGAUACAUCACACCUUUUGUUUAAAUGCGAAAGAGCAAAAGAAAUCUGGAGUUCACUAGGGCUAUAUGAAAUGAUGGCCAAUGUGGCAGUACCUGGUCGGUCGGGAGCUGAGAUCUUAGAAAUUCUCUUAUGCGAUCAAUAUACAUCAAGAAAAAUAUGGACAGACUUGAUUUACCUGAGCUAA